RNAcentral lists this ribosomal RNA (1257 nucleotides) under human gut metagenome. RNAcentral describes it as "bacterial LSU rRNA". It matches the Rfam family "Bacterial large subunit ribosomal RNA", at positions 1169 to 2423 of the family's 2925-position model. The record is from RNAcentral.
AAUUUAACGGGGCUAAAUCGUACACCGAAGCUUGGGAAUAUCAGUUAUUCUUCAUGGACUUGCAAGGAAAGAGACCAUGGCACGAAGUGCCAUCAAAUUGUCCAUAAGGAUAAAGCGAGCUUGUGAAGAAUAACUGAUAUUGGUAGGAGAGCGUUGAAUGCGGGGUGAAGUCAGAGCGAAAGCGCUGGUGGACUGCAUUGAAGUGAGAAUGCCGGAAUGAGUAGCGAGAUUUAUGUGAGAAUCAUAAAGGCCGAAAGACUAAGGUUUCAGAAGGAAGGUUCGUCCGCUUCUGGUUAGCCGGGAGCUAAGGUGAGGCCGAAAGGCGUAGCCGAUGCACAUACGGUGGAGAUUCCGUAGCCGUCGAAAUAUUUAAGCAAAGGGACACUUAUGAAGGACAUGACCCGGGCGAUGGUAGCCCCGGGCGUAAGGGACUGAAAACAAGUAAGGAAGCAUGUUUGGAUUAAGGCGAGAAAAGCUUUGUGUAUAUAUUAGACGUCCGUACCGCAAACCGACACAGGUAGUCAGGAAGAGGAUUCUAAGGCCAACGGGAGAAGGGUAGUUAAGGAACUCGGCAAAUUGACCCCGUAACUUCGGGAUAAGGGGCGGUGCGUAAGCACCCGCAGUGAAUAGGUCCAGGCGACUGUUUAUCAAAAACACAGCUCUCUGCUAAAUCGAAAGAUGACGUAUAGGGGGUGACACCUGCCCGGUGCUGGAAGGUUAAGAGGAGGAGUGCAAGCUCCGAAUUGAAGCCCCAGUAAACGGCGGCCGUAACUAUAACGGUCCUAAGGUAGCGAAAUUCCUUGUCGGGUAAGUUCCGACCCGCACGAAUGGUGUAACGAUCUGGACGCUGUCUCAACUGCCCGCCCGGCGAAAUUGUAGUACCGGUGAAGAUGCCGGUUACCCGCGGCAAGACGGAAAGACCCCAUGGAGCUUUACUGUAACUUGAUAUUGGGUCUUGGUAUUCUAUGUACAGGAUAGGCGGGAGACUAUGAAACAUACACGCCAGUGUAUGCGGAGUCACCCUUGGGAUACCGCUCUUAGAGUACUGAGAUUCUAACCUGCGGCCGUGAAUCCGGUCGGGGGACAUUGUCAGGUGGGCAGUUUGACUGGGGCGGUCGCCUCCUAAAAGGUAACGGAGGCGCUCAAAGGUUAGCUCAGCACGGUCGGAAACCGUGCCUCUGAGUGCAAACGCAAAAGCUAGCCUAACUGCGAGGCUGACGGGCCGAGCAGUAACGAAAGUUGGAGUUAGUGAUCCGG